Molecule: ribosomal RNA, 360 nt
Filed under: Graneledone verrucosa
Lineage: Eukaryota; Metazoa; Mollusca; Cephalopoda; Octopoda; Octopodidae
Description: partial 28S ribosomal RNA
Rfam family: Eukaryotic large subunit ribosomal RNA
Source: RNAcentral
CCGAGGAGUCCCAGUCGGCUGCGAGUCGUUGGAGCCAAUCGAGCUACUAACUCCGACGGCACAGUGAAAGCGAGAACGUGACACGUCGUCGCCGGCAUCGUUCACGCGCUGUCGGCGGCGUCUCGAAGCAUCGUUCCCGGGUCGGGCCAGCGCGCGUGGCUAACGCAAGCUCGCCUUGUUAUUACCGGCUGCGCGCGCUCCGACUCAGGUCUAGCAGACGGCCGGGGACCCGAAAGAUGGCGAUCCACGCCCGGUCGGGACGAAGCCAGAGGAAACUCUGGUGGAAGUCCGAAGCGCCUCUGACGUGCAAAUCGAUCGUCGGAACCGGGUGUAGGGGCGAAAGACCAAUCGAGCCGUCUA